RNAcentral lists this long non-coding RNA (750 nucleotides) under Capra hircus (goat). RNAcentral's name for it is "lncRNA (ENSCHIG00000001122.1)". The record is from RNAcentral. Lineage: Eukaryota; Metazoa; Chordata; Mammalia; Artiodactyla; Bovidae.
GCUAAGUCGGAUCCUACAGAAGUAAACAUUCUUGCGGAGUUUCUGAAUGUAGAACCUAAGUGUUCUUGCUUCUUCUCCAGCCAGGGAGUUUUGUCAUGCAUACUAACCAGGAGCUCAAGGGUUAUAAAGAAAAAGACCACCGUAAACCACUAAGCAAGAGGAAACAAACAGCUACUUCUAAUAGCGCUGCUGGAGACACUAGUAGUAGAAAAAGGGAUUUCAGUUAAUAAUUCACCUCUUCAGUGCAGCCUGAAUCCUGUCUGCUGCUCACUUAUGAUAUGAUUCAACAGUAUACAAAGAAGUGUUGGACAAUUAAGGAGGACGCCUACCACCAUUCUUCAACUCGACAUGUAGGCGCAAAGGGACAACAGGCUCAGCGACCAUUUAAAGACAGUUGCAGACUAGUGCACUGAGAUCCUAUUAGAUUACAAAGUCACCCAUGACCCAUUCAUUUCAUGAUCACCAGUUUUACAUAUGAUGCCAUUGCGCUUCAGCAACCUUGAGUGCUUUUGAGGUAUAAAGAUGUCCUGUUAGGAGCAGUCAAAGCUUCAUCUGUUCUUUUGGUCCUUUCUUCUCUCCUAUCCUAAUCCCAUUCUUGGUAUGCCACAAGCAACAUACUCCAUGUUGUACUAAGCUUGAGUUCGCCUGGAAGACUACCUAUGGUCUACCACUGAAGACUUUUUCUGUUUUUUUCUUUGUAUUUAAGAAGUUAGUAUCUGUCUGUUGGCUUGACAAUAUAGCAUUUUCUGC